This 465-nucleotide ribosomal RNA is filed under the name uncultured bacterium. Its description in RNAcentral is "partial 16S ribosomal RNA". It matches the Rfam family "Bacterial small subunit ribosomal RNA", at positions 338 to 795 of the family's 1533-position model. The record is from RNAcentral.
CCUACGGGGGGCAGCAGUAGGGAAUCUUCCACAAUGGGCGAAAGCCUGAUGGAGCAACGCCGCGUGGGUGAAGAAGGUCUUCGGAUCGUAAAACCCUGUUGUUAGAGAAGAAAGUGCGUGAGAGUAACUGUUCACGUUUCGACGGUAUCUAACCAGAAAGCCACGGCUAACUACGUGCCAGCAGCCGCGGUAAUACGUAGGUGGCAAGCGUUAUCCGGAUUUAUUGGGCGUAAAGGGAACGCAGGCGGUCUUUUAAGUCUGAUGUGAAAGCCUUCGGCUUAACCGGGGUAGUGCAUUGGAAACUGGGGGACGUGAGUGCAGAAGAGGAGAGUGGAACUCCAUGUGUAGCGGUGAAAUGCGUAGAUAUAUGGAAGAACACCAGUGGCGAAAGCGGCUCUCUGGUCUGUAACUGACGCUGAGGUUCGAAAGCGUGGGUAGCAAACAGGAUUAGAUACCCUGGUAGUC